CCCCAGAAUUCUGGCUUAGUCUGGUUGAUUGUCUCUCGGUUUUAUAGACGCUGCUUCAGUUGUGCAUUUCUCUUUCCGUUUGUGACAUUUACAGGAAGAAGGAUUACUCAGUUCUGAAAUUAAUGUCAUGAGAAACCAAAUUGACUAGCAGGCACGAUAGCAAUCUGAGCCUCCAAAUGGGAUCCUUCCUGAGAGCAGUUUGGCCUCACUGCAGGUCUGGUUUGAGAGCAGAACUGAGACCAUGCAGGAUGCAAAGCCAAGCUUCAAAUGAGGACCUGGGACACGGCAGACAUGGAAGGAGGCAGACAUUGCAACAACAAGUGCAACACUGCUCACACCUCUUACCCUCUGUCCAAUGAAAUGAAGACAAGCAUGGAAUGCUCCAUCUGUGCCCUACAGAAGAAUAUCAUCCAUUAUCUGCAACAGUGCUCUGGUUUUUUUCUUUUAAUCACAAAAGAAAUGGGUUUAAAUAUUUUACAAGAUUGACAUAAUAAAUAAUUGAAUCAUAGCUAAGAACAACUGUAACAUGUAUUUUAACUCUUGAUGUCUGGUUUCUGUGAUUUUUUUCCCCGUAGCAUCUUGGAAAAUAUUAUAUUUGUACUAAUAAAUACAGUUUGCAGUUUGUAGGCAAAGAUA
Molecule: long non-coding RNA, 636 nt
Organism: Rhineura floridana
Lineage: Eukaryota; Metazoa; Chordata; Lepidosauria; Squamata; Rhineuridae
Exons: 3
Source: RefSeq, a predicted model, not a curated record